This 282-nucleotide ribosomal RNA is filed under the name uncultured Actinomycetales bacterium. RNAcentral's name for it is "partial 16S ribosomal RNA". It matches the Rfam family "Bacterial small subunit ribosomal RNA", at positions 505 to 786 of the family's 1533-position model. Lineage: Bacteria; Bacillati; Actinomycetota; Actinomycetes; Actinomycetales. The record is from RNAcentral.
GUGCCAGCAGCCGCGGUAAUACGUAGGGUGCAAGCGUUGUCCGGAAUUAUUGGGCGUAAAGAGCUCGUAGGCGGUCUGUCGCGUCGGCUGUGAAAACUCGGGGCUCAACCCCGAGCCUGCAGUCGAUACGGGCAGACUAGAGUGCUGUAGGGGAGACUGGAAUUCCUGGUGUAGCGGUGAAAUGCGCAGAUAUCAGGAGGAACACCGGUGGCGAAGGCGGGUCUCUGGGCAGUAACUGACGCUGAGGAGCGAAAGCGUGGGGAGCGAACAGGAUUAGAUACC